CGGCCUAUCAGCUUGUUGGUGAGGUAAUGGCUCACCAAGGCUUCGACGGGUAGCCGGCCUGAGAGGGCGACCGGCCACACUGGGACUGAGAUACGGCCCAGACUCCUACGGGAGGCAGCAGUGGGGAAUAUUGCACAAUGGGCGGAAGCCUGAUGCAGCAACGCCGCGUGCGGGAUGACGGCCUUCGGGUUGUAAACCGCUUUCAGUGGGGACGAAGCUAACGUGACGGUACCUACAGAAGAAGCACCGGCCAACUACGUGCCAGCAGCCGCGGUGAUACGUAGGGUGCGAGCGUUGUCCGGAAUUAUUGGGCGUAAAGGGAUUGUAGGCGGUUCGUCGCGUCGAUGGUGAAAACUCAGGGCUCAACCCUGAGCCUGCUUUCGAUACGGGCGGACUAGAGGUAUGCAGGGGAGAACGGAACUCCUGGUGGAGCGGUGGAAUGCGCAGAUAUCAGGAGGAACACCGGUGGCGAAGGCGGUUCUCUGGGCAUUACCUGACGCUGAGAAUCGAAAGCGUGGGGAGCAAACAGGCUUAGAUACCCUGGUAGUCCACGCCGUAAACGGUGGGCACUAGGUGUGGGGGACAUCCCACGUUCUCCGUGCCGAAGCUAACGCAUUAAGUGCCCCGCCUGGGGAGUACGG
Molecule: ribosomal RNA, 641 nt
Filed under: uncultured bacterium
Lineage: Bacteria
Description: bacterial SSU rRNA
Rfam family: Bacterial small subunit ribosomal RNA
Source: RNAcentral